GCUGGCGGCGGCCUACACAUGCAGUCGAGCGGUAGAGGGAAGCUUGCUUCUCUUGAGAGCGGCGGACGGGUGAGUAAUGCCUAGGAAUCUGCCUAGUGGUGGGGGAUAACGUUCGGAAACGGACGCUAAUACCGCAUACGUCCUACGGGAGAAAGCGGGGGACCUUCGGGCCUCGCGCCAUUAGAUGAGCCUAGGUCGGAUUAGCUAGUUGGUGAGGUAAUGGCUCACCAAGGCUACGAUCCGUAACUGGUCUGAGAGGAUGAUCAGUCACACUGGAACUGAGACACGGUCCAGACUCCUACGGGAGGCAGCAGUGGGGAAUAUUGGACAAUGGGCGAAAGCCUGAUCCAGCCAUGCCGCGUGUGUGAAGAAGGUCUUCGGAUUGUAAAGCACUUUAAGUUGGGAGGAAGGGUAGUAACUUAAUACGUUGCUACUUUGACGUUACCGACAGAAUAAGCACCGGCUAACUUCGUGCCAGCAGCCGCGGUAAUACGAAGGGUGCAAGCGUUAAUCGGAAUUACUGGGCGUAAAGCGCGCGUAGGUGGUUCAGUAAGUUGGAUGUGAAAUCCCCGGGCUCAACCUGGGAACUGCAUCCAAAACUGCUGAGCUAGAGUACGGUAGAGGGUAGUGGAAUUUCCUGUGUAGCGGUGAAAUGCGUA
RNAcentral lists this ribosomal RNA (659 nucleotides) under Pseudomonas sp. IH2-20. Its description in RNAcentral is "bacterial SSU rRNA". It matches the Rfam family "Bacterial small subunit ribosomal RNA", at positions 35 to 692 of the family's 1533-position model. Lineage: Bacteria; Pseudomonadati; Pseudomonadota; Gammaproteobacteria; Pseudomonadales; Pseudomonadaceae. The record is from RNAcentral.